This 520-nucleotide ribosomal RNA is filed under the name uncultured microorganism. RNAcentral's name for it is "bacterial SSU rRNA". It matches the Rfam family "Bacterial small subunit ribosomal RNA", at positions 9 to 524 of the family's 1533-position model. The record is from RNAcentral.
GAGUUUGAUCGUGGCUCAGGACGAACGCUGGCGGCGUGCCUAAUACAUGCAAGUCGAGCGAGGGUUUUCGGACCCUAGCGGCGGACGGGUGAGUAACACGUAGGCAACCUGCCUCUCAGACCGGGAUAACAUAGGGAAACUUAUGCUAAUACCGGAUAGGUUUUUGGAUUGCAUGAUCCGAAAAGAAAAGAUGGCUUUUUGCUAUCACUGGGAGAUGGGCCUGCGGCGCAUUAGCUAGUUGGUGGGUAACGGCUACCAAGCGACGAUGCGUAGCCGACCUGAGAGGGUGACCGGCCACACUGGGACUGAGACACGGCCCAGACUCCUACGGGAGGCAGCAGUAGGGAAUUUUCCACAAUGGACGAAAGUCUGAUGGAGCAACGCCGCGUGAACGAUGAAAGGUCUUCGGAUUGUAAAGUUCUGUUGUCAGGGACGAACACGUACCGUUCGAACAGGGCGGUACCUUGACGGUACCUGACGAGAAAGCCACGGCUAACUACGUGCCAGCAGCCGCCGUAAC